CUGACCGUGCAAAGGUAGCGUAAUCACUUGUCUUUUAAAUGGGGACUUGUAUGAAUGGUAUAACGAGGGCUUAACUGUCUCCUCCCUCUUGUCAAUGAAAUUGAUCUCCCCGUGCAGAAGCGGGGAUACUCUCAUAAGACGAGAAGACCCUAUGGAGCUUUAGAUACUAAGGUAGACCAUAUUCCAUAACCCCUUGUUAAAGGAGUAAAUCUAUGCUAAUCCUACCCCUAUAUCUUCGGUUGGGGCGACAAUGGGGAAAUAAAAAUCCCCCAUGCGGAACGGGAAAAUUUUAUCUAAGAAAUUAUUCUUACCAUAAAACUACUUCCCCAAAUUAAGAGUGACAACUCUAAAUUACAGUAUUUCUGACCAUAAAUGAUCCGGCAUUUGCCGAUUAACGGACCAAGUUACCCUAGGGAUAACAGCGCAAUCCCCUUUUAGAGCCCACAUCAACAAGGGGGUUUACGACCUCGAUGUUGGAUCAGGACAUCCUAUUGGUGCAGCCGCUAUUAAGGGUUCGUUGUUCAACGAUUAAAGUCCUACGUGAUCUGAGUUCAGACCGGAG
Molecule: ribosomal RNA, 562 nt
Filed under: Coryphaena hippurus (common dolphinfish)
Lineage: Eukaryota; Metazoa; Chordata; Actinopteri; Carangiformes; Coryphaenidae
Description: partial 16S ribosomal RNA
Rfam family: Bacterial large subunit ribosomal RNA
Source: RNAcentral